GCCACUUUAGCUUCGUGGUAGAGCGUCUGCUUCGGAAGCAGAAGGUCGCCAUUUCAAUCCUUUCAAGUGGCU
This 72-nucleotide transfer RNA is filed under the name Perkinsus olseni. It matches the Rfam family "tRNA". From Rfam's summary of the family: Transfer RNA (tRNA) molecules are approximately 80 nucleotides in length. Their secondary structure includes four short double-helical elements and three loops (D, anti-codon, and T loops). Further hydrogen bonds mediate the characteristic L-shaped molecular structure. tRNAs have two regions of fundamental functional importance: the anti-codon, which is responsible for specific mRNA codon recognition, and the 3' end, to which the tRNAs corresponding amino acid is attached (by aminoacyl-tRNA synthetases). tRNAs cope with the degeneracy of the genetic code in two manners: having more than one tRNA (with a specific anti-codon) for a particular amino acid; and 'wobble' base-pairing, i.e. permitting non-standard base-pairing at the 3rd anti-codon position. The record is from Rfam by way of RNAcentral. Lineage: Eukaryota; Perkinsozoa; Perkinsida; Perkinsidae.